This 253-nucleotide ribosomal RNA is filed under the name uncultured bacterium. Its description in RNAcentral is "partial 16S ribosomal RNA". It matches the Rfam family "Bacterial small subunit ribosomal RNA", at positions 524 to 776 of the family's 1533-position model. The record is from RNAcentral.
UACGAAGGGGGCUAGCGUUGUUCGGAAUUACUGGGCGUAAAGCGCACGUAGGCGGACAUUUAGGUCAGGGGUGAAAUCCCAGAGCUCAACUCUGGAACUGCCUUUGAUACUGGGUGUCUUGAGUAUGGAAGAGGUGAGUGGAAUUCCGAGUGUAGAGGUGAAAUUCGUAGAUAUUCGGAGGAACACCAGUGGCGAAGGCGGCUCACUGGUCCAUUACUGACGCUGAGGUGCGAAAGCGUGGGUAGCGAACAGG